Molecule: ribosomal RNA, 743 nt
Filed under: uncultured bacterium
Lineage: Bacteria
Description: bacterial SSU rRNA
Rfam family: Bacterial small subunit ribosomal RNA
Source: RNAcentral
AGCGGCGGAUGGGUGAGUAACACGUGGGGAACCUGCCCCUAAGUCUGGGAUACCAUUUGGAAACAGGUGCUAAUACCGGAUAAUAAAGCAGAUCGCAUGAUCAGCUUUUGAAAGGCGGCGUAAGCUGUCGCUAAGGGAUGGCCCCGCGGUGCAUUAGCUAGUUGGUAAGGUAACGGCUUACCAAGGCGACGAUGCAUAGCCGAGUUGAGAGACUGAUCGGCCACAUUGGGACUGAGACACGGCCCAAACUCCUACGGGAGGCAGCAGUAGGGAAUCUUCCACAAUGGACGCAAGUCUGAUGGAGCAACGCCGCGUGAGUGAAGAAGGUUUUCGGAUCGUAAAGCUCUGUUGUUGGUGAAGAAGGAUAGAGGUAGUAACUGGCCUUUAUUUGACGGUAAUCAACCAGAAAGUCACGGCUAACUACGUGCCAGCAGCCGCGGUAAUACAUAGGUGGCAAGCGUUGUCCGGAUUUAUUGGGCGUAAAGCGAGCGCAGGCGGAAAAAUAAGUCUAAUGUGAAAGCCCUCGGCUUAACCGAGGAACUGCAUCGGAAACUGUUUUUCUUGAGUGCAGAAGAGGAGAGUGGAACUCCAUGUGUAGCGGUGGAAUGCGUAGAUAUAUGGAAGAACACCAGUGGCGAAGGCGGCUCUCUGGUCUGCAACUGACGCUGAGGCUCGAAAGCAUGGGUAGCGAACAGGAUUAGAUACCCUGGUAGUCCAUGCCGUAAACGAUGAGUGCUAAGUGU